Molecule: small RNA, 17 nt
Filed under: Arabidopsis thaliana (thale cress)
Lineage: Eukaryota; Viridiplantae; Streptophyta; Magnoliopsida; Brassicales; Brassicaceae
Description: ATSL191220
Source: RNAcentral
AAACAAUGAAUGAAAAU